UACGAAGGGGGCUAGCGUUGUUCGGAAUUACUGGGCGUAAAGCGUGCGUAGGUGGUUCGUUAAGUCUGAUGUGAAAGCCCUGGGCUCAACCUGGGAAUGGCAUUGGAAACUGGCGACCUAGAGUGCGGUAGAGGGCAGUGGAAUUCCCGGUGUAGCAGUGAAAUGCGUAGAUAUCUGGAGGAACACCGGUGGCGAAGGCGACAUCCUGGACCGGUAUUGACGCUGAGGCGCGAAAGCCAGGGGAGCAAACGGG
RNAcentral lists this ribosomal RNA (253 nucleotides) under uncultured bacterium. Its description in RNAcentral is "partial 16S ribosomal RNA". It matches the Rfam family "Bacterial small subunit ribosomal RNA", at positions 524 to 776 of the family's 1533-position model. The record is from RNAcentral.